AUUGAACGCUGGCGGCAGGCCUAACACAUGCAAGUCGAGCGGAUGAAGGGAGCUUGCUCCUGGCUUCAGCGGCGGACGGGUGAGUAAUGCCUAGGAGUCUGCCUGGUCGUGGGGGAUAACGUCCGUUAACGGGCGCUAAUCCCGCAUACGUCCUGAGGGAGAAAGUGGGGGAUCUUCGGACCUCACGCUAUCUGCUGAGCCUAGGUCGGAUUAGCUAGUUGGUGGGGUAAAGGCCUACCAAGGCGACGAUCCGUAACUGGUCUGAGAGGAUGAUCAGUCACACUGGAACUGAGACACGGUCCAGACUCCUACGGGAGGCAGCAGUGGGGAAUAUUGGACAAUGGGCGAAAGCCUGAUCCAGCCAUGCCGCGUGUGUGAAGAAGGUCUUCGGAUUGUAAAGCACUGUAAGUUGGGAGGAAGGGCAGUAAGUUAAUACCUGGCUGUUUUGACGGUACCAACAGAAUAAGCACCGGCUAACUUCGUG
Molecule: ribosomal RNA, 484 nt
Filed under: uncultured bacterium
Lineage: Bacteria
Description: partial 16S ribosomal RNA
Rfam family: Bacterial small subunit ribosomal RNA
Source: RNAcentral